Molecule: ribosomal RNA, 421 nt
Filed under: uncultured Bacilli bacterium
Lineage: Bacteria; Bacillati; Bacillota; Bacilli
Description: bacterial SSU rRNA
Rfam family: Bacterial small subunit ribosomal RNA
Source: RNAcentral
AGGGUGAUCGGCCACACUGGGACUGAGACACGGCCCAGGCUCCUACGGGAGGCAGCAGUAGGGAAUCUUCGGCAAUGGGGGAAACCCUGACCGAGCAACGCCGCGUGAGUGAAGAAGGUUUUCGGAUCGUAAAGCUCUGUUGUUAAGGAAGAACGUGUGUGAGAGUGGAAAGUUCACACAGUGACGGUACUUAACCAGAAAGGGACGGCUAACUACGUGCCAGCAGCCGCGGUAAUACGUAGGUCUCGAGCGUUGUCCGGAUUUAUUGGGCGUAAAGCGAGCGCAGGCGGUUAGAUAAGUCUGAAGUGAAAGGCAGUGGCUCAACCAUUGUAGGCUUUGGAAACUGUUUAACUUGAGUGCAGAAGGGGAGAGUGGAAUUCCAUGUGUAGCGGUGAAAUGCGUAGAUAUAUGGAGGAACACC